This 159-nucleotide ribosomal RNA is filed under the name Melampodium dicoelocarpum. Its description in RNAcentral is "5.8S ribosomal RNA". It matches the Rfam family "5.8S ribosomal RNA". From Rfam's summary of the family: 5.8S ribosomal RNA (5.8S rRNA) is a component of the large subunit of the eukaryotic ribosome. The record is from RNAcentral. Lineage: Eukaryota; Viridiplantae; Streptophyta; Magnoliopsida; Asterales; Asteraceae.
CGACUCUCGGCAACGGAUAUCUCGGCUCACGCAUCGAUGAAGAACGUAGCAAAAUGCGAUACUUGGUGUGAAUUGCAGAAUCCCGUGAACCAUCGAGUUUUUGAACGCAAGUUGCGCCCGAAGCCAUUCGGUUGAGGGCACGUCUGCCUCGGCGUCACG